GAAAUGCGAUAAGUAAUGUGAAUUACAGAAUUCAGUGAAUCAUCGAAUCUUUGAACGCACAUUGCGCCCGCCAGAAUUCUGGCGGGCAUGCCUGUUCGAGCGUCAUUUCAACCCUCGAGCUCCCCUUUCGGGGGGAGCCCGGCGUUGGGGACCCGGCGCUAACAACGCCGGCCCCGAAAUGGAGUGGCGGCCCGUCCGCGGCGACCUCUGCGUAGUAACAACCACUCGCACCGGGACCCGGGCGCGGCCACGCCGUAAAACACCCCACCUUCCGAAUGUUGACCUCGAAUCAGGUAGGAAUACCCGCUGAACUUAAGC
Molecule: unclassified non-coding RNA, 318 nt
Filed under: plant metagenome
Description: partial contains 5.8S ribosomal RNA, internal transcribed spacer 2, and large subunit ribosomal RNA
Rfam family: 5.8S ribosomal RNA (bases 1-105)
Source: RNAcentral